CACCCGUAACCCAGAGGAUGGAAGCUAGGAUGCUUGAUGUUGAAUGGAGUGCUCCGUUGAGCGCGCCACUUAUAAUAAUAAACCGAUCCUUUCUCCACAAGAGAUGUUUUCUUCUUUGAGCUAGUGGAAAAGUUCUCAGUAUGAUGCAGGAGGAGGCGAGUACUGUGUUGUUAACUAAUCCGUUGAACAAGUCAGCUAAGCAUGGUGUAAGUCAGCACCAACCUGCCAGGACAUUGCCUGGCAGAUAGUAGGUUUCAAUUAUCAAUCUCUUUACGUCCGCGUAAAGGUCAGUGAGCAGUCGUUGAAGCAGAAUUCCAUAUAUAAUAGAGAUUUAUGAAAAUUUUACAGAUAUACAAAGCGAUAGAGAUACCUAUAUUCUAGAUAUCCAAAGGGAAAUAAAUCUAUGUUAUAGAGG
This 415-nucleotide small RNA is filed under the name Histoplasma capsulatum var. duboisii H88. RNAcentral describes it as "Histoplasma capsulatum H88 hypothetical RNA". Lineage: Eukaryota; Fungi; Ascomycota; Eurotiomycetes; Onygenales; Ajellomycetaceae. The record is from RNAcentral.